RNAcentral lists this ribosomal RNA (463 nucleotides) under uncultured Rhodocyclaceae bacterium. Its description in RNAcentral is "bacterial SSU rRNA". It matches the Rfam family "Bacterial small subunit ribosomal RNA", at positions 917 to 1382 of the family's 1533-position model. The record is from RNAcentral. Lineage: Bacteria; Pseudomonadati; Pseudomonadota; Betaproteobacteria; Rhodocyclales; Rhodocyclaceae.
GGGACCGCACAAGCGGUGGAUGAUGUGGAUAAUUCGAUGCAACGCGAAAACCUUACCUACCUGACAUGUCCGGAAUCCCGAAGAGAUUUGGGAGUGCUCGCAAGAGAACCGGAACACAGGUGCUGCAUGGCUGUCGUCAGCUCGUGUCGUGAGAUGUUGGGUUAAGUCCCGCAACGAGCGCAACCCUUGUCAUUAGUUGCCAUCAUUUGGUUGGGCACUCUAAUGAGACUGCCGGUGACAAACCGGAGGAAGGUGGGGAUGACGUCAAGUCCUCAUGGCCCUUAUGGGUAGGGCUUCACACGUCAUACAAUGGUCGGUACAGAGGGUUGCCAACCCGCGAGGGGGAGCUAAUCCCACAAAGCCGACUCGUAGUCCGGAUCGCAGUCUGCAACUCGACUGCGUGAAGUCGGAAUCGCUAGUAAUCGUGGAUCAGCAUGUCACGGUGAAUACGUUCCCGGGUCUU